This 374-nucleotide unclassified non-coding RNA is filed under the name Hevea brasiliensis (rubber tree). Lineage: Eukaryota; Viridiplantae; Streptophyta; Magnoliopsida; Malpighiales; Euphorbiaceae. The record is from RNAcentral.
AAGAUACUCGAUGUCAUGAUGGCGAUACAAUGAAAAAUGAAGUUAGUAUUGAUCGUAACGAUAAUAAUUAUGUUAGCGGUGACAAUAAUAAUAAUAAUAUGGGUACAAGUCAUACUCAUGAUGUUAGCACAAAUAGUACUAGUGGUGGAGGUGGUGGUCAUCAUCAUGGUGAUACAAGUGGGAAUACUGGUGGUGGUUGGAGCAAUGAUCACGGUGGUGCUAGUUGGAGUGGCGGCGAUCACGGUGGUGGCGGUUUUAGUGGUGGUGGUGAUACUGGUGGUUUUAGUGGUGGAGGUUGGUGAUCACGAAUUUAGGUGCAAUUCUAUAAAUGUAAAAGUCAAUUAAAAAUUUUGACAUUUGUUUGGUACUACUAU